ACGUAGGAAGCGAGCGUUAUCCGGAUUUACUGGGCGUAAAGCGCGUGUAGGCGGUCGGGUAAGUUGGAUGUGAAAGCUCCUGGCUUAACUGGGAGAGGUCGUUCAAUACUACCUGACUAGAGGAUGGGAGAGGGAAGUGGAAUUCCGGGUGUAGUGGUGAAAUGCGUAGAUAUCCGGAGGAACACCAGUGGCGAAAGCGGCUUCCUGGCCCAUAACUGACGCUCAGACGCGAAAGCUAGGGGAGCGAACGGGAUUAGAGACCCCGGUAGUCCUAGCUGUAAACGAUGUGGACUUGGCGUUGGCGGGUUUAAAUCCGUCAGUGCCGAAGCAAACGCGAUAAGUCCACCGCCUGGGGACUACGGCCGCAAGGUUA
RNAcentral lists this ribosomal RNA (373 nucleotides) under uncultured bacterium. Its description in RNAcentral is "bacterial SSU rRNA". It matches the Rfam family "Bacterial small subunit ribosomal RNA", at positions 525 to 896 of the family's 1533-position model. The record is from RNAcentral.